Molecule: small nuclear RNA, 23 nt
Filed under: Arabidopsis thaliana (thale cress)
Lineage: Eukaryota; Viridiplantae; Streptophyta; Magnoliopsida; Brassicales; Brassicaceae
Description: snRNA_18192
Source: RNAcentral
GAGAGAGAGAUCAAAAUCAUGGU